RNAcentral lists this ribosomal RNA (164 nucleotides) under Thinopyrum intermedium. RNAcentral describes it as "5.8S ribosomal RNA". It matches the Rfam family "5.8S ribosomal RNA". Rfam says of the family: 5.8S ribosomal RNA (5.8S rRNA) is a component of the large subunit of the eukaryotic ribosome. It is transcribed by RNA polymerase I as part of the 45S precursor that also contains 18S and 28S rRNA. Functionally, it is thought that 5.8S rRNA may be involved in ribosome translocation. The record is from RNAcentral. Lineage: Eukaryota; Viridiplantae; Streptophyta; Magnoliopsida; Poales; Poaceae.
CACACGACUCUCGGCAACGGAUGUCUCGGCUCUCGCAUCGAUGAAGAACGUAGCGAAAUGCGAUACCUGGUGUGAAUUGCAGAAUCCCGCGAACCAUCGAGUCUUUGAACGCAAGUUGCGCCCGAGGCCACUCGGCUGAGGGCACGCCUGCCUGGGCGUCACGC